GACGAACGCUGGCGGCGUGCUUAACACAUGCAAGUCGAACGGAAAGGCCCUGCUUUUGUGGGGUGCUCGAGUGGCGAACGGGUGAGUAACACGUGAGUAACCUGCCCUUGACUUUGGGAUAACUUCAGGAAACUGGGGCUAAUACCGGAUAGGAGCUCCUGCUGCAUGGUGGGGGUUGGAAAGUUUCGGCGGUUGGGGAUGGACUCGCGGCUUAUCAGCUUGUUGGUGGGGUAGUGGCUUACCAAGGCUUUGACGGGUAGCCGGCCUGAGAGGGUGACCGGCCACAUUGGGACUGAGAUACGGCCCAGACUCCUACGGGAGGCAGCAGUGGCGAAGCUUGCACAAUGGGCGGAAGCCUGAUGCAGCAGCGCCGCGUGCGGGAUGACUGCCUUCUGGUUGUAAACCGCUUUCGCCUGUGACGAAGCGUGAGUGACGGUAAUGGGUAAAGAAGCUCCGGCUAACUACGUG
This 468-nucleotide ribosomal RNA is filed under the name uncultured bacterium. Its description in RNAcentral is "partial 16S ribosomal RNA". It matches the Rfam family "Bacterial small subunit ribosomal RNA", at positions 28 to 507 of the family's 1533-position model. The record is from RNAcentral.